RNAcentral lists this ribosomal RNA (253 nucleotides) under uncultured bacterium. Its description in RNAcentral is "partial 16S ribosomal RNA". It matches the Rfam family "Bacterial small subunit ribosomal RNA", at positions 524 to 776 of the family's 1533-position model. The record is from RNAcentral.
UACGGGGGGAGCAAGCGUUGUUCGGAUUUAUUGGGCGUAAAGGGCGCGUAGGCGGCUCGGCACGUCCGUUGUGAAAUCGCCCGGCUCAACUGGGCGGGGUCGGCGGAUACGGCCGAGCUGGAGCAAGCUAGGGGGUAAUGGAAUUCCCGGUGUAGUGGUGGAAUGCGUAGAUAUCAGGAGGAACACCUGCGGUGUAGACGGCUUACUGGACCAUAACUGACGCUGAGGCACGAAAGCGUGGGUAGCAAACAGG